CCAUAUUAAUGCAGAGUGUGCAGAGUGAGAGGGAGAAGCACCCAUAUAUUUCAUAGCAUCUGACGGGUUCAUAGUUAAGUUCCGGAUGCACUGUUGCCAUCUAGGAAAAAAAUCGUUUUCGUAAAAUCAGUCAGCGUAUAAUAAUCUCCUCGGUACUCGUUGCUGUUUCGUACACUGUAAUACUUAUUUGGGAAUGACUGUCUAAUGUUAGAAGCUUCAAAAAUAUUUAACGGUCCCUGUUCUUGCUAAGUGAGUAGUAGAGACGUAGACUUCAACAGAGGAGAGUGUUGUCUUCGAAGCUUCGUAUCUCAUUCGUCAUCCACUCCUGCAUCUCUUCGUGCGAUGUCGCUUGAGAAGACAUUCACGGUUGCUCUUCUUCUACUGGCUCCUUUGCUAAUAUGGAAUUGCGUCAUCACCGCCACUAGGCAAAUUGACAAUGGGGGGAUUGGUUCCUGCAAUCAAAACUGUACCUUCUACGCAAAUGGAAGCAGCAGUCCUUGCAGCGACAAUUGUUCUUGCAUUAGCAACAAUUAUGACUUUUUAGGAAACCCACAAAACCCAGCAGGACCAGGAACAUGCUAUGAGAGUCACGGGCAGACAACUUCGGGAGCAAAACAUCCAUAAAGAUCAGCUUUCUCUGCUUGUGGUAUUCUGUUUUAGAAUUACAAUAAAAAACUGCCUAUACACGG
Dermacentor silvarum is the source of this 689-nucleotide long non-coding RNA. RefSeq lists it as uncharacterized. The transcript has 3 exons. NCBI's taxonomy places the organism in Eukaryota, Metazoa, Arthropoda, Arachnida, Ixodida, Ixodidae. The record is from RefSeq and is a predicted model, not a curated record.